GACGAACGCUGGCGGCGUGCUUAACACAUGCAAGUCGAACGAAGUGGCGAACGGGUGAGUAACGCGUAAGCAACCUGCCCUUCAGAGGGGGACAACAGUGGGAAACGACUGCUAAUACCGCAUACUGAUGGAGGGGAAUGCGUCUGAUUAGCUAGUGGGAGGGGUAACGGCCCACCAAGGCGAUGAUCAGUAGCCGGUCUGAGAGGAUGAACGGCCACAUUGGGACUUAGACACCGCCCCGACUCCGACGGGAGGCAGCAAUUGGGAAUCAUUCGCAAUGGACGAAAGUCUGACGGAGCAACGCCGGGUGAUUGAUGACGGCCUUCGGGUUGUAAAGCUCUGUUAAUCGGGACGCGGUACCGGCAUAGAAAGCCACGGCUAACUACGUGCCAGCAGCCGCGGUAAUUC
This 408-nucleotide ribosomal RNA is filed under the name uncultured bacterium. RNAcentral's name for it is "partial 16S ribosomal RNA". It matches the Rfam family "Bacterial small subunit ribosomal RNA", at positions 28 to 526 of the family's 1533-position model. The record is from RNAcentral.